This 777-nucleotide ribosomal RNA is filed under the name uncultured Pelagibacteraceae bacterium. RNAcentral's name for it is "bacterial SSU rRNA". It matches the Rfam family "Bacterial small subunit ribosomal RNA", at positions 53 to 878 of the family's 1533-position model. Lineage: Bacteria; Pseudomonadati; Pseudomonadota; Alphaproteobacteria; Candidatus Pelagibacterales; Candidatus Pelagibacteraceae. The record is from RNAcentral.
ACAUGCAAGUCGAACGAAGUAGCAAUACUUAGUGGCAGACGGGUGAGUAACAUGUGGGUAUCUACCCUUUGGCCUGGAAUAACACGAGGAAACUUGUGCUAAUACUGGAUAAGUCUUUACGGAGAAAGCUUUAUGCACCAUUGGAUGAGCCCGCACUUGAUUAGUUUGUUGGUAGGGUAAUGGCCUACCAAGACUUUGAUCAAUAGCUGAUUUGAGAGGAUGAUCAGCCACAUUGGGACUGAGACACGGCCCAAACUCCUACGGGAGGCAGCAGUGGGGAAUCUUGCACAAUGGAGGAAACUCUGAUGCAGCGAUGCCGCGUGAGUGAAGAAGGCCCUUGGGUUGUAAAGCUCUUUCGUCGGGGAAGAAAAUGACUGUACCCGAAUAAGAAGGUCCGGCUAACUUCGUGCCAGCAGCCGCGGUAAUACGAAGGGACCUAGCGUAGUUCGGAAUUACUGGGCUUAAAGAGUUCGUAGGUGGUUGAAAAAGUUGGUGGUGAAAUCCCAGAGCUUAACUCUGGAACUGCCAUCAAAACUUUUCAGCUAGAGUUUGAUAGAGGAAAGCAGAAUUUCUAGUGUAGAGGUGAAAUUCGUAGAUAUUAGAAAGAAUACCGAUUGCGAAGGCAGCUUUCUGGAUCAUUACUGACGCUGAGGAACGAAAGCAUGGGUAGCGAAGAGGAUUAGAUACCCUCGUAGUCCAUGCUGUAAACGAUGUGUGUUAGACGUUGGAAAUUUAUUUUCAGUGUCGCAGUGAAAACGAUAAACACACCGCCUGGGG